This is a long non-coding RNA of Amblyraja radiata (thorny skate), 1432 nucleotides long. RefSeq lists it as uncharacterized. NCBI's taxonomy places the organism in Eukaryota, Metazoa, Chordata, Chondrichthyes, Rajiformes, Rajidae. The record is from RefSeq and is a predicted model, not a curated record. The transcript has 2 exons.
AUAGGCAACGUUUCGGGCCGAAACCCUUCUUCAGACUGUCUGGGGAAGGGAUGUCUGUAGUGUGGACAUCCCACUCCAUUGUAAGACCCACCCCAAUCCUGUGACUUCCUAAAGUUUAGUUGGUUAAAACAGUCUUGUACACAAAUCAAGGAUCCAUCCCAAAGCCAGUUCCAACAUUACCCGACUUGCAUUUCUUGAUGGCAAAUAUGUGUGCUCUCCCUCAACUGUGGGGAGACAUGUCAGUCCGUGUGUCUCAGUUCACUGCCUGCAUUGAACAAGCCCCCACCACUGAGAACCAAUGGGCUGAAUUUGAUAUUGCAACCAUGACUUUUUGGACGAGAGAAUUUUCUGACCAUCAGUAUGGGCCACGUUGCUUGUCCUGUCAGCUACUGGUAACGAGUAACAUUUCUACCUCCUGAUCUGAAUUAUUUAAGCUGCCGUUCCUGUUUCAGAGCGCUGGGGUUUUUUUUUUAACGUAUUGCCGUUAUACUCUCACCUCAAUCAUAGUAAAGUCAUAGCAAUUUGGAAAGGAUUACAAAAACACAAGCAUGUUCAGAAGUUUGAAAGAACCAUCAUAUUGGGCAAAGUUUAAGCUAAACAGUGUCUCUCCCACUUUUGGAUUGAUGUUGCAUGAAAUAACAUGGUGAUCAUUUUUGUAAAGCCAUGGUGUCAUUGGUAAGUAACCAGAAAUGCAUCUAUAUUUCUAUUGGCAUGAAUUGGAUAUGCAAUACUCUGUGAGCAACAUUAGCAGCUAGUAUGGAUUAAUUUUGGUGUGACAGCGGUUCGACCGAUUAAUUUGCUAGUACAUGUGAGUAUCAAUUAUACAACAAGGAAUAUCAAGAUGCUAAAAAUAUUCAUGGCUCUUGCCCAAACUGUAAGGUGUAUAUACGAGACUUGGUUCAACUCCACUGUCAAAAACUGUUUUUUCAGUUUGCUCUGCUGUACCUGUCAAAAUUUAGUUACUGUAAAAUCUUUUUAAGAAAAGCGCCCUAAUUUGUAAAGAGUAUGAUAAUGAUAAUGGCUAAAAAAAAAAAAUUUAAAAAAAAUUAAUUUUACGACACAUUGUGGAAUGGAAAUUUAUCUGCAAGAUUUUUGCAGUUUUGGAAGAAAUGAUUCUUGCAUGUUGCAUAUGUUGUGAUUUGAGAAGCAUUUAUCAGUGACUAAAAUGCCUUCUGCAAACUUUCAUUGGUACAUUAUCCAGAGGUGGUCUGAAAAUAAUUCAUCACCAAUGCGUGGACUUUAUGCUGUUUUAUGUCAUAUUACUCAGCUUGAUUUGUCCGUCAUUUCUGUACUUCGUAAUCUUUAAUCUUGUAAAACUGUGGUGUGUAUCUCCCAUUGCCUGAAAUGAAUGGCUUUGUAUAAAUCAAUGUCAUAAGCUGUUCCCCCCCCUCUUGCCAUAUUUCCUAACACAUUAAAUAUAGAUGUUUGUAAA